This is a long non-coding RNA of Anguilla rostrata (American eel), 459 nucleotides long. RefSeq lists it as uncharacterized. Lineage: Eukaryota; Metazoa; Chordata; Actinopteri; Anguilliformes; Anguillidae. The record is from RefSeq and is a predicted model, not a curated record. The transcript is spliced from 2 exons.
AAAACCAUUACUCGGAUAAAGGGGUAGUUACUGCAUAUAGCCCAAGACCUAAAAGCCGUCUUCUUGCAAUCAAAGAAAUUUGUGUGUGGUCACGGAACAAAACCAAAACGAUCAGCGCUCUUCUUACGUGAGUAUAGUCGUUUCGGACAGCAGCGGUUUCCCCCUCCUCCUUGCGAGGCAGCGGUGCGUCAUCGUUCAGCCCGAGCUAUCGCGCGCGAGGACUUACAGGGAAGUGCGUGGCCCAGUGCACGAUCUCGGACCCCGUGGUGGCGUCUCGGUCCACCACCUCCAGCUUGAUCACCAGGGCGUCCCACUUCUUCCGGUACUCAGUGUCCAGCUGGAUCAACACGGGGGAAGGGACAGUGAGGCGGGGCCAGAGGGAGACAGGGUCCGCCCCUGCGCACAAACCCCGCCCCCGCACACAGACACAAGCAGCAGGGCUGUGCACCGCAGACAAAA